This 332-nucleotide ribosomal RNA is filed under the name uncultured bacterium. RNAcentral describes it as "bacterial SSU rRNA". It matches the Rfam family "Bacterial small subunit ribosomal RNA", at positions 568 to 898 of the family's 1533-position model. The record is from RNAcentral.
CAUGUAGGCGGCUCAACAAGUGUCUUGUGAAAUCCCUCGGCUUAACCGAGGAAUUGCUGGGCAAACUGUCGAGCUUGAGGCAGGUAGGGGCGAGUGGAACUCUUGGUGGAGCGGUGGAAUGCGUAGAUAUCAAGAGGAACGCCGGUGGUGAAGACGACUCGCUGGGCCUGUCCUGACGCUGAGGUGCGAAAGCCAGGGGAGCAAACGGGAUUAGAUACCCCGGUAGUCCUGGCCCUAAACGAUGUCUACUAGGUCGGAGUCACUCUGACGUGUUUCUGGCCGAAAUGAAAACGUUAAGUAGACCGCCUGGGGAGUACGGUCGCAAGGCUAAA